RNAcentral lists this ribosomal RNA (145 nucleotides) under Escherichia coli. Its description in RNAcentral is "partial 23S ribosomal RNA". The stretch from base 1 to 127 matches the Rfam family "Bacterial large subunit ribosomal RNA", at positions 2804 to 2925 of the family's 2925-position model. RNAcentral also lists the same sequence under 1 other name. Lineage: Bacteria; Pseudomonadati; Pseudomonadota; Gammaproteobacteria; Enterobacterales; Enterobacteriaceae. The record is from RNAcentral.
AUGAGUUCUCCCUGAGACUUUAAGUCUCCUGAAGGAACGUUGAAGACGACGACGUUGAUAGGCCGGGUGUGUAAGCGCAGCGAUGCGUUGAGCUAACCGGUACUAAUGAACCGUGAGGCUUAACCUUACAACGCCGAAGGUGUUU